UACAGAGGGUGCGAGCGUUAAUCGGAUUUACUGGGCGUAAAGGGUGCGUAGGUGGUCACGAAAGUCGGAUGUGAAAGCCCUGGGCUCAACCUGGGAACUGCUUUCGAUACUGUCUGACUAGAAUUCGGUAGAGGGAGGCGGAACUCCAGGUGUAGCGGUGAAAUGCGUAGAUAUCUGGAAGAACACCGAUGGCGAAGGCAACCUCCUGGGCCUGAAUUGACACUGAAGCACGAAAGCGUGGGGAGCAAACAGG
RNAcentral lists this ribosomal RNA (253 nucleotides) under uncultured bacterium. RNAcentral describes it as "partial 16S ribosomal RNA". It matches the Rfam family "Bacterial small subunit ribosomal RNA", at positions 524 to 776 of the family's 1533-position model. The record is from RNAcentral.